This 253-nucleotide ribosomal RNA is filed under the name uncultured bacterium. RNAcentral describes it as "partial 16S ribosomal RNA". It matches the Rfam family "Bacterial small subunit ribosomal RNA", at positions 524 to 776 of the family's 1533-position model. The record is from RNAcentral.
UACGAGUGGUGCAAGCAUUAUUCGGAAUCAUUGGGCGUAAAGGGUGCGUAGGUGGCACAUUAAGUCUACUGUUAAAUAUCUCGGCCUAACCGAGAGCCUGCAGUGGAGACUGGUGAGCUAGAGGAUGAUAGAGAGAAGUGGAAUUCUCGGAGUAGCGGUAAAAUGCGUAGAUCUCGAGAGGAACACCGAUGGCGAAAGCAGCUUCUUGGAUCAAUCCUGACACUGAUGCACGAAAGCGUGGGGAGCAAACAGG